CCAUUUUUAUUAAGAAAAUGUCUAAUAGCAUGUAUGAUCUCAGGCUAACAUAAUUACAGGAAAAGUACAAGUUUUAGAAAUGUGGAUGUCUUGAUUCGUCGGGGCUAGGAUCACUGUUAAGACCCUUCGGUUGUUGUGAUGGUCUGAGAAAAUUAGUAUCUCCGUUCAGCAUAGAGAAAUGUGGAUGCCCUGAUCCGUCGGGGCUAGGACCACUGUUGAGACCCUUCCGUUGUUGUGAUGGUUUGAGAAAAUUAGCAUCUCCGUUCAGCAUAGAGAAAUGUGGAUGUCCUGAUCCGUCGGGGCUAGGACCACUGUUGAGACCCUUCCGUUGUUGUGAUGGUUUCCGUUCAGCACAGAGAAAUGUGGAUGUCCUGAUCCGUCGGGACUAGGACCACUGUUGAGACCCUUCAGUUGUUGUGAUGGUUUGAGAAAAUUAGCAUCUCCGUUCAGCAUAGAGAAAGAAAGAAAAAAAAAUAAGAAAGAAGCCUAAGCAUUGAAGUUUUCAGUCAUGAUAAGAGUGUAUAAACGCUGCUUCAACCAAAUAAGACAAUCUAG
This 555-nucleotide long non-coding RNA is filed under the name Phaseolus vulgaris (common bean). Its description in RNAcentral is "long non-coding RNA (PVUL_LNC001982)". Lineage: Eukaryota; Viridiplantae; Streptophyta; Magnoliopsida; Fabales; Fabaceae. The record is from RNAcentral.